Molecule: ribosomal RNA, 483 nt
Filed under: uncultured bacterium
Lineage: Bacteria
Description: partial 16S ribosomal RNA
Rfam family: Bacterial small subunit ribosomal RNA
Source: RNAcentral
GACGAACGCUGGCGGCGUGCUUAACACAUGCAAGUCGAACGGUGAAAGCGGAGCUUGCUCCGCUGGAUCAGUGGCGAACGGGUGAGUAACACGUGGGCAACCUGCCCCAGACUUCGGGAUAACUCCUCGAAAGAGGUGCUAAUACCGGAUACGAAGCCCCCAGGCAUCUGGGGGCUUGGAAAGUUUUUCGGUCUGGGAUGGGCCCGCGGCCUAUCAGCUUGGUGGUGAGGUAACGGCUCACCAAGGCGACGACGGGUAGCCGGCCUGAGAGGGCGACCGGCCACACUGGGACUGAGACACGGCCCAGACUCCUACGGGAGGCAGCAGUGGGGAAAAUUGCGCAAUGGGCGAAAGCCUGACGCAGCAACGCCGCGUGAGGGAUGACGGCCUUCGGGUUGUAAACCUCUUUCAGCAGGGAAGAAGCGAAAGUGACGGUACCUGCAGAAGAAGCACCGGCUAACUACGUGCCAGCCGCCGCGGUAA